Long non-coding RNA from Etheostoma spectabile (orangethroat darter), 88 nucleotides. RefSeq lists it as uncharacterized. The record is from RefSeq and is a predicted model, not a curated record. The transcript has 3 exons. Lineage: Eukaryota; Metazoa; Chordata; Actinopteri; Perciformes; Percidae.
CUGCAGACGGGCACUUUGCUAGUAGUUGCAAGUUUCAACUCGUCUUAUAGCAAAUCUUUGGUCUGAACUGGGUUAAAUACAGACUAAA